RNAcentral lists this ribosomal RNA (468 nucleotides) under uncultured bacterium. Its description in RNAcentral is "partial 16S ribosomal RNA". It matches the Rfam family "Bacterial small subunit ribosomal RNA", at positions 28 to 507 of the family's 1533-position model. The record is from RNAcentral.
GACGAACGCUGGCGGCGUGCUUAACACAUGCAAGUCGAACGGAAAGGCCCUGCUUUUGUUGGGUGCUCGAGUGGCGAACGGGUGAGUAACACGUGAGUAACCUGCCCUUGACUUUGGGAUAACUUCAGGAAACUGGGGCUAAUACCGGAUAGGAUCUCCUGCUGCAUGGUGGGGGUUGGAAAGUUUCGGCGGUUGGGGAUGGACUCGCGGCUUAUCAGCUUGUUUGUGGGGUAGUGGCUUACCAAGGCUUUGACGGGUAGCCUGCCUGAGAGGGUGACCGGCGACAUUGGGACUGAGAUACGGCCCAGAAUGCUACGGGAGGCAGCAGUGGGGAAUAUUGCAGAAUGGGCGGAAGCCUGAUGCAGCAACGCCGCGUGCGGGAUGACGGCCUUCGGGUUGUAAACAGAUUUCGAAGGUGAUGAAGAGUGAGUGACGGUAAUGGGUAAAGAAGCAACGGCUAACUACGUG